ACUCAGUGUCAGGAGUUCCUGGCUUCCAGUCAAGUGUUUGAUCUACUAGACCAUACUCUGUUCCUGCUAGCUAAAUAUGUAUAUUCUUGGGUUCAUAGAACUGGAUAACAUGCAGAGCCCAGAGCAGGUCUGACUCUUUUUAGGCAACCUGGCCUCCCGCAGGAUUUGUGCCCCCUGAUGACGUCCUUGCACCUCUCCUCCCUUCUCUUUUCUCUCCCCCUCAGAUGCUCAGCUUUUCUCCUCCGAUGAUGAGGUGCAGAGCUGAACGCAUGCAAGCUGCUUUUCAUCUCUACUCCCACAUGCAGUGUGAUGUGCACUUCUCUACAUGUGUGGGAAAGACAGCAGAUAGACUUGAGCAACCUGCGGUGUAUCGUCUGAUUUACUAGGCCUUUCCAGACGUGACCCAUUAUCUUCAUAGCCAGUGUCAUUAAAAUAAGGGGGUAAUCAGAGCACUUGGCCUGUGCUCCAUGGAAUGUGGACCAGUGCGGGGUAACUUCCUCAAUGUGAUUUCCCUUGUACCCUCACCUCAUUUUUGAUUUGUUUCACAUCUCUGCGUCUCAAUCAGACUGCCAGCGAGCCAAAUUGUGUGGUUGGAAAAAUGUCCAGUUGGGACUAGGCUGAGGCACUGUGCUCAAACCUGCUUUUGAAUAAAGAGUGGAUUUAGGCCUUGUC
Molecule: long non-coding RNA, 672 nt
Organism: Mauremys reevesii (Reeves's turtle)
Lineage: Eukaryota; Metazoa; Chordata; Testudines; Geoemydidae
Exons: 2
Source: RefSeq, a predicted model, not a curated record